GACGAACGCUGGCGGCGUGCUUAACACAUGCAAGUCGAACGGAAAGGCCCUGCUUUUGUGGGGUGCUCGAGUGGCGAACGGGUGAGUAACACGUGAGUAACCUGCCCUUGACUUUGGGAUAACUUCAGGAAACUGGGGCUAAUACCGGAUAGGAGCUCCUGCUGCAUGGUGGGGGUUGGAAAGUUUCGGCGGUUGGGGAUGGACUCGCGGCUUAUCAGCUUGUUGGUGGGGUAGUGGCUUACCAAGGCUUUGACGGGUAGCCGGCCUGAGGGGGUGACCGGCCACAUUGGGACUGAGAUACGGCCCAGACUCCUACGGGAGGCAGCAGUGGGGAAUAUUGCACAAUGGGCGGAAGCCUGAUGCAGCAACGCCGCGUGCGGGAUGACGGCCUUCGGGUUGUAAACCGCUUUCGCCUGUGACGAAGCGCGAGUGACGGUAAUGGGUAAAGAAGCACCGGCUAACUACGUG
RNAcentral lists this ribosomal RNA (468 nucleotides) under uncultured bacterium. RNAcentral describes it as "partial 16S ribosomal RNA". It matches the Rfam family "Bacterial small subunit ribosomal RNA", at positions 28 to 507 of the family's 1533-position model. The record is from RNAcentral.